Molecule: unclassified non-coding RNA, 520 nt
Filed under: uncultured Glomus
Lineage: Eukaryota; Fungi; Glomeromycota; Glomeromycetes; Glomerales; Glomeraceae
Description: SSU rRNA
Rfam family: Eukaryotic small subunit ribosomal RNA
Source: RNAcentral
AGCAGCCGCGGUAAUUCCAGCUCCAAUAGCGUAUAUUAAAGUUGUUGCAGUUAAAAGCUCGUAGUUGAAUUUCGGGAUCAAUAUGUUGGUCGUGCCUCGGUACGUACUAGCUUAUUGGUUUCUCCUUUCUGAAGAACCAUGAUGUCAUUUAUUUGGUGUCGUGGGGAAUCAGGACUGUUACUUUGAAAAAUUAGAGUGUUUAAAGCAGGCUCACGCUUGAAUACAUUAGCAUGGAAUAAUGAAAUAGGACGUUUGAUUCUAUUUUGUUGGUUUCUAGGAUCGACGUAAUGAUUAAUAGGGAUAGUUGGGGGCAUUAGUAUUCAAUUGUCAGAGGUGAAAUUCUUGGAUUUAUUGAAGACUAACUACUGCGAAAGCAUUUGCCAAGGAUGUUUUCAUUAAUCAAGAACGAAAGUUAGGGAUCGAAGACGAUCAGAUACCGUCGUAGUCUUAACCAUAAACUAUGCCGACUAGGGAUCGGAUGGAUGUUAAUUUUUUAAUGUACUUAUUCGGUCGUCCGUUA